RNAcentral lists this ribosomal RNA (253 nucleotides) under uncultured bacterium. RNAcentral's name for it is "partial 16S ribosomal RNA". It matches the Rfam family "Bacterial small subunit ribosomal RNA", at positions 524 to 776 of the family's 1533-position model. The record is from RNAcentral.
UACGGAGGGUGCGAGCGUUGUUCGGAAUUACUGGGCGUAAAGCGAGUGUAGGCGGUUUGGUAAGUCGGAUGUGAAAGCCCCGGGCUCAACCCGGGAAGUGCACUCGAUACUGCCAAGCUAGAGUAUCGGAGAGGUUGGUGGAAUUCUCGGUGUAGAGGUGAAAUUCGUAGAUAUCGAGAGGAACACCGGUGGCGAAGGCGGCCAACUGGACGAAUACUGACGCUGAGACUCGAAAGCGUGGGGAGCAAACAGG